UUUGUCCAUAUUGCCUCAUUCAAUUAUGCUAAUAUUUCUGUUUAUCUCACUUUUUGGUCUUCCAGGAGGUAUUACUGAAGUGAGCUUCCAGUAUCCAGAUCCAAAGAGGUGGAUGGUGAAAGUAACCGGAACUACUCAAGUGUGAGGAAAACGGAGCUCACAGCACCAAAUAUUUCCUGCUGUUUGGAGGCUGAUUCUGACCUACAGCAGGCAUGGUAAGACUUGUCAAGUUCUUCCUCAUAUCUGGCUAU
RNAcentral lists this long non-coding RNA (251 nucleotides) under Rhinopithecus bieti (black snub-nosed monkey). RNAcentral describes it as "lncRNA (ENSRBIG00000045966.1)". The record is from RNAcentral. Lineage: Eukaryota; Metazoa; Chordata; Mammalia; Primates; Cercopithecidae.